AACUCCACAUCGAGGGGGAGUUAAAAUUGGUGAACCCAUUCGUUUUGCUGGUCCAAAUUCAAUAAUAUAAGGAUUCCCCUAACUUAGCAUUAGCCAUAAUAUAAUUAUAACAAAUGAUGCCGUGCGUUUCAGCUUUGGAGUUUUGGCUCCGAAUCAUUUUCAUUAUUUUCAUUUCGCGAUACGAUAAGUUGAGGAUACAAACUACGAAGAGAACAACAGCGUCUAAAAUAUCGCCACGUGGAAACUGGAAAGCAAUUCUUCAUGACACACUGUGAAUGAUGCGGGUGGGUGAAUGUACUCGGGAUAAAAGCUCAUUUAGUUAUUAUAUUUUAAGAUUAGUAUCUGUUUAGUUCUUAUAUUUUUUAAAAUGCCUUAAAAUAUCUCUACCGUUAAAGUAUUGAUACCCCUAACGUUACUUUUUAUUUUUUUUGACUUACUUUUACAAUAUUACCCUUUUAUGAUAAUUUUUUUAUUUAGAUAUUAAUA
Molecule: long non-coding RNA, 486 nt
Filed under: Citrus x clementina
Lineage: Eukaryota; Viridiplantae; Streptophyta; Magnoliopsida; Sapindales; Rutaceae
Description: Citrus clementina (C. clementina) long non-coding RNA (CCLE_LNC004663)
Source: RNAcentral